RNAcentral lists this transfer RNA (77 nucleotides) under Candidatus Bathyarchaeota archaeon. RNAcentral's name for it is "tRNA-Arg". It matches the Rfam family "tRNA". Rfam says of the family: Transfer RNA (tRNA) molecules are approximately 80 nucleotides in length. The record is from RNAcentral. Lineage: Archaea; Thermoproteati; Candidatus Bathyarchaeota.
GCUCCCAUAGCUCAACUGGAUAGAGCACGAGCCUUCUAAGCUCGGGGUUGUAGGUUCGAGUCCUACUGGGAGUACCA